GGCCCCAUGGUGUAAUAGGCAGCACUCAGGGCUUUGAGUCCUGUAAUCUGAGUUCAGAUGUGAGUGGGACCU
RNAcentral lists this transfer RNA (72 nucleotides) under Pelodiscus sinensis (Chinese soft-shelled turtle). It matches the Rfam family "tRNA". Rfam says of the family: Transfer RNA (tRNA) molecules are approximately 80 nucleotides in length. Their secondary structure includes four short double-helical elements and three loops (D, anti-codon, and T loops). The record is from Rfam by way of RNAcentral. Lineage: Eukaryota; Metazoa; Chordata; Testudines; Trionychidae.